RNAcentral lists this ribosomal RNA (754 nucleotides) under Acinetobacter johnsonii. RNAcentral's name for it is "bacterial SSU rRNA". It matches the Rfam family "Bacterial small subunit ribosomal RNA", at positions 28 to 776 of the family's 1533-position model. Lineage: Bacteria; Pseudomonadati; Pseudomonadota; Gammaproteobacteria; Moraxellales; Moraxellaceae. The record is from RNAcentral.
AUUGAACGCUGGCGGCAGGCUUAACACAUGCAAGUCGAGCGGGGAAGGGUAGCUUGCUACCUGACCUAGCGGCGGACGGGUGAGUAAUGCUUAGGAAUCUGCCUAUUAGUGGGGGACAACAUUCCGAAAGGAAUGCUAAUACCGCAUACGCCCUACGGGGGAAAGCAGGGGAUCUUCGGACCUUGCGCUAAUAGAUGAGCCUAAGUCAGAUUAGCUAGUUGGUGGGGUAAAGGCCUACCAAGGCGACGAUCUGUAGCGGGUCUGAGAGGAUGAUCCGCCACACUGGGACUGAGACACGGCCCAGACUCCUACGGGAGGCAGCAGUGGGGAAUAUUGGACAAUGGGCGCAAGCCUGAUCCAGCCAUGCCGCGUGUGUGAAGAAGGCCUUUUGGUUGCAAAGCACUUUAAGCGAGGAGGAGGCUACUUGGAUUAAUACUCUAGGAUAGUGGACGUUACUCGCAGAAUAAGCACCGGCUAACUCUGUGCCAGCAGCCGCGGUAAUACAGAGGGUGCGAGCGUUAAUCGGAUUUACUGGGCGUAAAGCGUGCGUAGGCGGCUUUUUAAGUCGGAUGUGAAAUCUCUGAGCUUAACUUAGGAAUUGCAUUCGAUACUGGGAAGCUAGAGUAUGGGAGAGGAUGGUAGAAUUCCAGGUGUAGCGGUGAAAUGCGUAGAGAUCUGGAGGAAUACCGAUGGCGAAGGCAGCCAUCUGGCCUAAUACUGACGCUGAGGUACGAAAGCAUGGGGAGCAAACAGG